UUGGGAGCCUUCCAGCGCGGCAGGCAUGUGAUCGGUGGGGGCGGGGGAAGCGGGCGGCUCGCCCGCACCGAAACCGGCGUUGGCCGCGGUACACCUGGCCUGCGGACACCCGGCGACGGCAGGCAGCGGCCACCCGGCACAGACGUCCCGCCCCGCGGCGCGGCCGCACCCGGCAGCGGAUUUUAGGCAUUCCCCUCUGCAGGCCUAACGCGAGUGGCGUGUUACGAGACAGGCAACGAGAGCAGAUCGCUGCUGUUCCACUGCUAGACAGACGCGCGUACACCUGUGGCAACAAACAGAAGAAUCCUGCCCUGUACGUCACAGCGAUCCUCCUUUACCACCUGCUCCGCCACCCACUUCCCUAUCACCCGCUUCCUGGGCAAUGCGUCCUUUACCCGGACCUAAGGGAACACCAGAGGCUGCGCAGGGAGCUGCUCCCAAGCCCUUACAAAGGCACGUGCCCAAGCUUAACUGCGUACUUAGUUGCAGGCAUCUUCGCAAAGGGGGAGUGGCUUCGUGUGUGCUUGCGAAGAUGCAAGGUGGAUCAGGAUGGUACGCAAAAAUAUGAAAACAAGCUCAGAAUCAGAAGAAAUUAUCUGUGCAAGAUAAACUGCGAGGACCUCUUCAUGUUUCAACAAUAAAUUGCACGCAGUUUGGAUAAAAAUAAGUUAUCUUGGUAUUCCUCCUACUAAAUACAAAUAACAUCAGUGGUAGUAAUGAGAAAAAUGUAGACUAAAACAUUAUUUCUUUAACUAUUUAAAUAUUUCAUGUGUUUCUAUUUGGGAAAAAAAGAAAGAAAGAAAGAAAGAAAGUAUCGUAGAAGUGUUGUGUGUGUUUCCUUUAAUUUUAUUGACAGAAGCACCAAAAAACCAAAGAUUCACCUUGUUAAUGACCCCUGGUUUUGGCAAGAUAGUAAGUAUAGGGAGAAGAGAAUAUCUGUUCUUACCAUAAACAGGAAAAAGGCUUUAUAACAGCAGCAUUUGCUAGCACCUCUAAAAUUAACUCUGGGUCAAGCUUUCCAUGAUGAAUGCCUUUUUUAGAGUUAAUACAGAGCAGCUGAGCCUAUAAACACAUUAAAAAGUAUAUUUCAAACAAGUUAGUCUGGGAACUAACUUUUAAAAUAGUACAUUGGAAACAAAAACAUAAAUUUAUACUGAGCAUUCAUUUCCUAUUAUAAAUUGUUGCCUACAGUAUUUCCAUCUCUUCCUGGGAUUGAAAUAUCAGACAAUUUAGGACACAGACAGAUAACUGUAAAUCACAACAAAGCUUACACUGGAGGCACCCCUGGAGAUCACGCAGUUCAACCCUUUGUUGAAACAGAACUAAAUUUAAAGCUCUAUCAGGUUGCUUAGGGCUGUCCAGCCAAGUUUUGGAUAGCUCUAAUGACGUAGUCUCCAUAAUUUUUUUGGUCAAGAAGUUUCAGUGCUCAGUCACCUAAAAGGGACUUUUUUUUUUCCUUUUUUAUCUAUCUGACAUUUCUCUCUUUUAACUAUCUCCUCGGGAAUAUUUAUCACUUUUGAUCACAACUUUCUGUUAGAUAACAUAAAAAAAUACUGUCAGUUAGUUAAAGCUGAGAAAACAGCUCUGGUAAACAUCUUCGAUAUUUUAUAACAGUUAUGCUUUCUUAGAGAUGAAACUGUU
This is a long non-coding RNA of Phasianus colchicus (ring-necked pheasant), 1641 nucleotides long. The record is from Ensembl. Lineage: Eukaryota; Metazoa; Chordata; Aves; Galliformes; Phasianidae.